UUAUACUUUAGAGAUCUCUGAUAGAUAUUUUAGCAAGUGUACUAAAACUAUCGAAGUAAUAAAAUAGGUUCGUAUCCACGAGGACUGUGUUAAUCUCAACUUAGCAAUAAAGUUAGUAUCUAGGAUGUGUAAACUUUAUAAGUGCCUGAGGCAGUAGGUUUGUGUGUAUAAAAAGUAUAUAAAGUUGUUAAAAGAUGAUUUGAGAAGGAUGAUUAAGCCGAUGAAUCCCCUAUUGUUCUAUAUGAGUAGUUACCUUCCUUAUUUACUAAUUACUAUUCCAUCUUUACGACAAAUUAACUAAGUAGUUUUGAUCAAUCUCUUGACUCAAAACCCUUUCCUAAGUUAUAACCUUUUAAUCUCUUAAACCGAUUGAAUAACCACGGAAGCGAUAAAAGAACGUUAAUUCAUGAGUCAUGAUCCUCAAUUUCCUAUCUCUAGGUUCCUAUGUUGAAUCAAACAGGAUUACUAUAUCAGGAUUAAAAGCUAGUGUUAAUAGUCAUUCAAUUCCUAAUAUCAAUUCAUGUAGUUGCACGAAGCUAGGGUUAAUAGUCAUACAAAGCAAUUAUCUGAAAAGCAAUGAACACAAGUAAUUCUGAAUAAAGACUGAAUAACAUUAAUAAUAAAGAGAGGAUCAACUACUGAUUCAUAUAUUACAAUAGAUUCAUCAUGGCUUAAUCAAGAGGGAAAUUAGCUAGACAUAGAGAUACAAAUUAAUAGCAUGGGAAAUAAAAUUAACCAUGAAACCAUGUUGUGGCUCGGGUCUCUACUGCUUCGUGAGUUUCUGUUGCCUUCUAUUCCCUCGCGUUCCCGUUCCUUUUCCUGGCGUGGCUUUGUUCCAAAACGUGAUUCCACUGUGCCGAAACGUGAAUGCCCUGUAAUGUCUGUGGCUUCCACAUAUAUAUAGCCUCUUAAAAACCAAUUUUCCUUCCAAUUUUCUUCUUCAGCGUGUUCCAUAUCUUCUUGCUGCUUUCCAAUUCUCUUAGGUCAACACACAAUUGGUCAAAGGCCCAUCAUUAUUUUCUUCUAUUAGCACUCGCCACCAACUCACGUUUUGUUGUGAGUAAUAAUAAGCAAUUCUUCCUUAUUUGACUCAAUAAAUCAACAACGAAACUUUAUUUAAAUUGACUCUAAAUUAAAUACUAAACUAAUAAAAAUAGAUUGAAAAUUUAUUUAAAAAGACUCUAAAAAUGUGAUAUGACGGACUGUCAUCACAACCCCAAACUUGAACUAUUCCUUGUCCUCAAGGAAUUUAUUUGCAACAUUGAUAGUCGACAGUAAAAUAAUAAUUACCUAAUCAAGCGAUAGUACCUAAAAGUUCAACUCCUCACUAGCUAAUGAUGAGCUAGUUUGACUUGUACGCAUCCACCAAUUCACAACUCCACGCAACAAAAUCAAUAGGGUUCACUCAUAGUCGACAUGCAAAUCUACAUAUUACCAUACGCUUGAAAAAUUUCUAAACGUCAAUAAAAAUCAAUAUCAAUGCACACUUUGAGGUCUUUAAGGGUUAUAACGGGGCUUAGGUGAAGGUGGGAUAAUAUUUGGAUAAGUAGGCUACACAAAAUUUUGAGUUAGGCAAUUCCUACGGAAGUUAAAGAAUGGAUUCAAUCACUCAUUCACCCCUUGAAAUAACAAUUUGUAAAGGUACUAGAGAUUAUUUGUAACUUGUUGGGACAAUCGAGUUUAAAGUUACUCAAAUUUUUCUUUGUUUGUCCCUUGCUUUUCAUUCUCUUUUUUUUUUUUGAUACACCAUUUUUGAUUUUGAGUGUAUAUUUUUCAUGAUUUGUUCUUUAUUCUCUAGUACCUCCACCCCAAACUUAGUUGGUUGCAAAUUCCAAUAGCAACCCCAAACUUAUUGUUUAGCAACACCCUACACAGCCUAACUCAAAUAUAAUAUUUUUGGGUCAAAUCCUAAAAGUCCCUAGGCUCAAUAUGUAGCUUGUCACCGAACAAAAAGAUCUAAGCCUACCGGCACAAAUUGGCUUUCAAAAAGGAUAAAUUCAAUCAAAAUCAGGGUAGGCUUGAAAAGGCUCACAGGACCAAGCACUUUUGCCUCAGUGUGUAUAUGAUAAAGAUCAAUCAACAGUAAAGAAACAAUGCAAGUUCUAGAAAUGUAGUUGCACGGAACACUCUAUAUAAGUAAAUUGAAAAAAAUAAAAUUUGGCUAUGAACCUUACAGUGUUAGAUUUCUGGGAGUUGCGACUACCUAUCACACAUGCCGUACACUUCGCCUUUGAAAUACAAGUCACUACCUCCUUAUGAACUUUUGGAAUACCACUUGAACAAACAAUUGUUACUAAACUGAAAAAAAAUCAACUAACAAACAAAUUCGUCAAUAAUAAACAAGUUCAGAUUCAAUUACAUAACAGGGAGUACAACUGAAUUAUCCAAAUAACAACACAACAAUUAAAAUUUCAACUGACAUCUGACGAAUACGAGUGAUUGAAAAAGAACUGAUGUGGACUUUGAUUUUUUUAUUUUUUUUUUCGUCCAUCUUUUCAUUUUUUUUUUCUUUGUUGUUGUUUUUUUUUGUUUUUUUUUUUUUUUUUUUUUCAAAUCGUGCCACGUUAGAUUACCAAUCGUGCCACGAAAUUUCCAGUGGCAAACUUGUUUGUUCGUUUGUUAGAUCGUGCCACGUUAAAGAAAUUUCGUGCCACGUUCGUAGCACACAUUGGUUUUUUUUUUUUUUUUUUUUUUAUGUAAAAUAAAAUGCAAUAAAAAAAUAAAAACAAUACCUGAGCGGAUCUAAGAUCCGAUGGGUCGCCUCCCACCAAGCGCUUUCUUUUACGUCAUUGAGCUUGACGCUUCAGCCACUGUUAGGGUGGCAAAAAUGAUAGAAGGAAUAUAUCACCCUUCUUCUUCCUCUUGUUUGGUAGGAAUUCCAUGAACUUAGCACAAAGAAUCAGAUACUCCCAUGCACUCAAUGUUGAUCUUUUGGAAUUAAAGCUCUCCCACCUUAGAGAAGGACGUGCAUAUAUUUUCACAAGAGUGAUUUCCUUAACCCCCAUUGGUUCAGAUUUCAGACAAAUAUCAACACUCCUCACUUUAGGAUUUUCUUCCACCACAACCUUGUGACAUUCUGUCUCCAUCUUAACCAACUUCCUUUGAGACUCCUGUGCCUUCUCAACAAGAUCACCACACUGAACAUCAAACUUAUCAAAUGAAACUUGGUUUGACACCAAGAAAUCAUCUAAAAUAUUUUGAAGUUGAGUAUUGUAAUCGAUGUUGAUCACCUCUUUCUUCUCUUUACAAUUACUACUUGGUUGAUCCACCUCAUAACUGUCACACCUCUCAUUUAAUAGUGAGAUUUUACUGUCCAAGCAUUUUAUCUUCACAGAUAUCAUAUAUUUUUCAUAUUGCAAUGACCAAAUCUCUUUUGUGUCAUAGAGGCGUAACCUGUCUAUCAUAGCUGCAAAACUUGGAUAAACUUUUUAGUAGCACAAUACAAUGAGAAGAAAAGAAUAGCAUAAAUCAAUUUUUUUUUUCUUUUAUAUAUAUAUACAAAAAUAUAAAUGACUGAAAUCCUAAAUAAAAACAAAAUUGCCAAGUUGAAAUGAUUUAACAGUCCCCGGCAGCGGCGCCAAAAACUUGAUAGAUAUUUUAGCAAGUGUACUAAAACUAUCGAAGUAAUAAAAUAGGUUCGUAUCCACGAGGACUGUGUUAAUCUCAACUUAGCAAUAAAGUUAGUAUCUAGGAUGUGUAAACUUUAUAAGUGCCUGAGGCAGUAGGUUUGUGUGUAUAAAAAGUAUAUAAAGUUGUUAAAAGAUGAUUUGAGAAGGAUGAUUAAGCCGAUGAAUCCCCUAUUGUUCUAUAUGAGUAGUUACCUUCCUUAUUUACUAAUUACUAUUCCAUCUUUACGACAAAUUAACUAAGUAGUUUUGAUCAAUCUCUUGACUCAAAACCCUUUCCUAAGUUAUAACCUUUUAAUCUCUUAAACCGAUUGAAUAACCACGGAAGCGAUAAAAGAACGUUAAUUCAUGAGUCAUGAUCCUCAAUUUCCUAUCUCUAGGUUCCUAUGUUGAAUCAAACAGGAUUACUAUAUCAGGAUUAAAAGCUAGUGUUAAUAGUCAUUCAAUUCCUAAUAUCAAUUCAUGUAGUUGCACGAAGCUAGGGUUAAUAGUCAUACAAAGCAAUUAUCUGAAAAGCAAUGAACACAAGUAAUUCUGAAUAAAGACUGAAUAACAUUAAUAAUAAAGAGAGGAUCAACUACUGAUUCAUAUAUUACAAUAGAUUCAUCAUGGCUUAAUCAAGAGGGAAAUUAGCUAGACAUAGAGAUACAAAUUAAUAGCAUGGGAAAUAAAAUUAACCAUGAAACCAUGUUGUGGCUCGGGUCUCUACUGCUUCGUGAGUUUCUGUUGCCUUCUAUUCCCUCGCGUUCCCGUUCCUUUUCCUGGCGUGGCUUUGUUCCAAAACGUGAUUCCACUGUGCCGAAACGUGAAUGCCCUGUAAUGUCUGUGGCUUCCACAUAUAUAUAGCCUCUUAAAAACCAAUUUUCCUUCCAAUUUUCUUCUUCAGCGUGUUCCAUAUCUUCUUGCUGCUUUCCAAUUCUCUUAGGUCAACACACAAUUGGUCAAAGGCCCAUCAUUAUUUUCUUCUAUUAGCACUCGCCACCAACUCACGUUUUGUUGUGAGUAAUAAUAAGCAAUUCUUCCUUAUUUGACUCAAUAAAUCAACAACGAAACUUUAUUUAAAUUGACUCUAAAUUAAAUACUAAACUAAUAAAAAUAGAUUGAAAAUUUAUUUAAAAAGACUCUAAAAAUGUGAUAUGACGGACUGUCAUCA
This 4779-nucleotide long non-coding RNA is filed under the name Medicago truncatula (barrel medic). RNAcentral's name for it is "long non-coding RNA (MTRU_LNC003417)". The record is from RNAcentral. Lineage: Eukaryota; Viridiplantae; Streptophyta; Magnoliopsida; Fabales; Fabaceae.